UACGUAGGGGGCGAGCGUUGUCCGGAGUUACUGGGCGUAAAGCGCACGCAGGCGGUCUGCUAAGCUUGGAGUGACAGUUGGUGGCUUAACUGCCAAAGUGCUUCGAAAACUGACAGACUUGAGGGCUUCAGAGGGACACGGAAUUCCGGGUGGAGUGGUGAAAUGCGUAGAGAUCCGGAGGAACACCAAAGGCGAAGGCAGUGUCC
RNAcentral lists this ribosomal RNA (206 nucleotides) under uncultured bacterium. RNAcentral's name for it is "partial 16S ribosomal RNA". It matches the Rfam family "Bacterial small subunit ribosomal RNA", at positions 524 to 729 of the family's 1533-position model. The record is from RNAcentral.